This 241-nucleotide long non-coding RNA is filed under the name Elaeis guineensis (African oil palm). Its description in RNAcentral is "long non-coding RNA (EGUI_LNC062734)". Lineage: Eukaryota; Viridiplantae; Streptophyta; Magnoliopsida; Arecales; Arecaceae. The record is from RNAcentral.
UGUCUUAAUUAAAUUAAGCUAAUUAGCAAUCGAAUUGCUAAUCGAUCCUCCUGCAACACUUGCACUAGGUUAAAUGUCAAUCGUAUUGAUCGUUUAACCUUAGAACGAUUCUUAAUCGUUGAUCAACCAUCCGAUCGAAUCGUGAACUCUAAUUUGUGUGACCUCAUAGAUCCAAAUCUAAUUUGAUAGCAUAGAAAUAAAUUUUUAUACCAAUCAAGUGAUCAUCUAGCAAUGGUACCCG